GAAGAAAGCCCUUCGGGGCAAGUAAGAGUGGCGCACGGGUGAGUAUCGCGUGGAUAAUCUGCCCUUCAAUGGGGGACAACUAGCCGAAAGGUUAGCUAAUACCGCAUAAGACCACAGUCUCUGCGGAGACAGAGGUUAAAGAUUUAUCGUUGAAGGAUGAGUCCGCGUCCGAUUAGCUUGUUGGUGAGGUAAUGGCUCACCAAGGCUGUGAUCGGUAACUGGUCUGAGAGGAUGAUC
This 237-nucleotide ribosomal RNA is filed under the name uncultured bacterium. RNAcentral describes it as "partial 16S ribosomal RNA". It matches the Rfam family "Bacterial small subunit ribosomal RNA", at positions 68 to 305 of the family's 1533-position model. The record is from RNAcentral.